GAAGGAUAAAGCACAAAAGUCCCCUGCAGAGCAAAAAGGUUUGUCGGAUUCAGGCGAGGACCCCCAGGGAGAGGUUGAGCCCCCCCACCAUGGUCUGGGUCACAAAGAAUCAGCUGGUGAGCGCGACUCUGAGCACCCUGCUCCCGCUGUUGCCUCAGUCAGUGCUACCCUGAGUCCCGCUUCUGAAGCCCAGCUUGCUCCUAUUCAACAAGAACUGGCAGGGAGAUCAGCAGAUGGAUCA
Non-coding RNA from Pelecanus crispus (Dalmatian pelican), 241 nucleotides. NCBI's taxonomy places the organism in Eukaryota, Metazoa, Chordata, Aves, Pelecaniformes, Pelecanidae. The record is from RefSeq and is a predicted model, not a curated record.